Molecule: ribosomal RNA, 253 nt
Filed under: uncultured bacterium
Lineage: Bacteria
Description: partial 16S ribosomal RNA
Rfam family: Bacterial small subunit ribosomal RNA
Source: RNAcentral
UACGUAGGGGGCAAGCGUUGUCCGGAAUCAUUGGGCGUAAAGAGCGUGUAGGCGGUUCAGUAAGUCUGCUGUGAAAGUCCAGGGCUCAACCCUGGGAUGCCGGUGGAUACUGCUGGGCUAGAGUACGGAAGAGGCGAGUGGAAUUCCCGGUGUAGCGGUGAAAUGCGCAGAUAUCGGGAGGAACACCAAUUGCGAAGGCAGCUCGCUGGGACGUCACUGACGCUGAGACGCGAAAGCGUGGGGAGCAAACAGG